Molecule: ribosomal RNA, 547 nt
Filed under: uncultured bacterium
Lineage: Bacteria
Description: bacterial SSU rRNA
Rfam family: Bacterial small subunit ribosomal RNA
Source: RNAcentral
AAUAGAUACCCAGGUAGUCCACGCCGUAAACGAUGAGUGCUAAGUGUUAGGGGGGUUUCCGCCCCGUUAGUGCUGCAGCUAACGCAUUAAAGCACUCCGCCUGGGGAGUACGGUCGCAAGACUGAAACUCAAAGGAAUUGACGGGGGCCCGCACAAGCGGUGGAGCAUGUGGUUUAAUUCGAAGCAACGCGAAGAACCUUACCAGGUCUUGACAUCCCAUUGACCGCUAUGGAGACAUAGCUUUCCCUUCGGGGACAGUGGUGACAGGUGGUGCAUGGUUGUCGUCAGCUCGUGUCGUGAGAUGUUGGGUUAAGUCCCGCAACGAGCGCAACCCUUGUUCUUAGUUGCCAUCAUUUAGUUGGGCACUCUAAGGAGACUGCCGGUGACAAACCGGAGGAAGGUGGGGAUGACGUCAAAUCAUCAUGCCCCUUAUGACCUGGGCUACACACGUGCUACAAUGGACGGUACAAACGGUUGCCAACCCGCGAGGGGGAGCUAAUCCGAUAAAACCGUUCUCAGUUCGGAUUGUAGGCUGCAACUCGCCUAC